CUCUAAUACAAAUUGAGAUUAUAUAUUUUAAGGAAUAUAUACAGUAAUAGUAUUAGUAUUAAAGAGACUUAUUCCUUCCUAAUGUAGGUAAAAAUGAAUCAGCAAAAUAUGUAUUAGUAAAAUUUUAUAUUUGAAUAUAUGUAUUUUGC
Molecule: non-coding RNA, 149 nt
Submitted as: unclassified sequences
Source: Rfam